This is a long non-coding RNA of Helianthus annuus (common sunflower), 477 nucleotides long. RefSeq lists it as uncharacterized. The record is from RefSeq and is a predicted model, not a curated record. NCBI's taxonomy places the organism in Eukaryota, Viridiplantae, Streptophyta, Magnoliopsida, Asterales, Asteraceae. The transcript has 2 exons.
AUAGAUAUAAACGAUAAAAACCAUGGUUAAUAGUAAAAAGGGGCAAAUUGGUAAUUUAGUCAUGAAUGACUAAGAUUUAAUGAGUUUUCGUUAAGGUUACCUUAUAGUGUAACUAAUAAAAGAAAUAGCGGGGUAAAAUCCGAAAUGGGUCGUAUGCGUGAAUUUGAAAUUAAAAUAUCAAGUUUUGUAAACAUCAAUAUUUGGUCAGGCAGACCACACGGGCCAGAUGGUAGUAAUAAUACCAUUUGACAAAUUCGACUAAUGUUUGGUUGGCAAGUCACUUGUUCAUAGGAACGAAUAGCAAUUUGGAUAAUUGCAUCGCCAUAAAGUUUCGGCUAAUAAAGCGAGGUAUAAAAACGGGUCUAUGCGUUGACUCGAGCCAGGUGGCGUGGACUUAGCAUCAUUACGAAGAAAAGAAGGUUUGAAGAUCGAGUCACGAGCGAGGGUUGUACGGGAAGGAUCAGUCACAUAAUUUGA